This 387-nucleotide long non-coding RNA is filed under the name Zostera marina. RNAcentral's name for it is "long non-coding RNA (ZMAR_LNC003663)". Lineage: Eukaryota; Viridiplantae; Streptophyta; Magnoliopsida; Alismatales; Zosteraceae. The record is from RNAcentral.
UCUUUGUUUGUAAUCUUUCUUUUUCUGUAGUGUUUGUUGAAUCACAGUUGUAGAAUUAAAUCGAUCAAACAACAUGUAGAACAAGAAUUAAAAAUGCUAAAAUUUUCUACGGAACAGGGUGGGAUUUUUCGGAUUUGGGUUUGUGGUUUUGUUUUGAUUUUGAUUGGUAUGAACAAAAUCGGGAAGGUUGGAAGAGAUCAAACCAUCGAGUUUGGACUCUACCGGAUCUCUGGGCAAGUAAACCGGCAAGUCUGUAAGGUUAUCGGAGGAAUUAAUAAGUGAAACUACAUGUUCCAAUUCUGGUUUGGAUUCAUUCUCUACACGUAGAAGACUGUGAUAAAUGCCGACUAGUUUAUAUACGAACAUACAGCCGGCGGUGAUACUAAC